This 302-nucleotide ribosomal RNA is filed under the name uncultured bacterium. RNAcentral describes it as "bacterial SSU rRNA". It matches the Rfam family "Bacterial small subunit ribosomal RNA", at positions 28 to 355 of the family's 1533-position model. The record is from RNAcentral.
GACGAACGCUGGCGGUGUGCUUCACACAUGCAAGUCGAACGAGGUAGCAAUACCUAGUGGCGGACGGGUGAGUAACGCGUGGGAAUCUGCCUUUAGAUGGGGGAUAACGGGUCGAAAGACUCGCUAAUACCGCAUAUGACGAAAGUUGAAAGGAGUAAUCCGUCUAAAGAUGAGCCCGCGUCCGAUUAGCUAGUUGGGUAGAGUAAAAGCCUACCAAGGCGACGAUCGGUAGCUGGUCUGAGAGGAUGAUCAGCCACAAUGGGACUAGAGACACGGCCCAUACUCCUACGGGAGGCAGCAGU